CUGCCGUGGAGGGCUGCGAGAACGCCACAACCUCUCCGGUUACCAGGUCCCUGAGGCGUCACUUCUGGAAACAAUUCCGUAGAGUUCUGCAGAAGUGAUGUGUCGUAUGGUGCAUCCAAACAAGAUGGUUCCUCAGCAACGCUUAUUCAUCAGGUGCUGUGGACUAUCAGAGAAUGAGAGCCUCAACGAAGAAUUGCUACACCUAAAAAUACUGUUCUGAAGAAGUGGUUACUCAGAUCAACAUACUGAGAGGGCACUGCAAUGUCUGAGGAAGAGGCUGAGACUGAGAAAGAAAAAGAAAAGACAAGAAUUGCUCAUCUACCUUAUGCUGGUUCCGUGUUCAGAAAGAUCAGUAGACCACCACAGAAAUAUAGCAUGCAGUGGAUUUUGCUCCCGUCAAGAUAAAAAGCACUGCUCGUAAUUUUGAAAACAAUCUAGAUCUCUCAAAACCAAGCAACCAGAGUGAAUGUAAUAUGUCUUACAUUGGGCAGACUGUUGCAACAGGGGAAGGAAGGAAAAAAGAUUAGGAUUUAAUAUCACACCAACAAUGAUGGAUCAGACACAGAGCACAAGCUUGAAUCAUUUUAAGAUGGAGAAGGAAAUCGGCCAUUCCCUUUCAAAGGAAUCAUUCUGGCAUUUGCUUGGAGUGAUUUCGGGAAAUCAUUUUCAACCAAAAUCUGGAUUGUCAGUUUGAACUGUCAUCCUCCUGAAUUCAAAUUCAGUGUGCUAACCACUGCACCACCUCAACUGGUAGGGAACAGUCGCUGAGGGGUGCAAUGAACAUCAGCAAUACACUUGACUAAAAGAACCAUGUAAAUUAGCUGUUGAUGGGCAAUGCUUCAUAAUCAUGAAAUGAAAUACAAUGAGCCCAGUAUUGUACAACAACAUAAUUAAGGAGCAUAUCACAAUUACAAUGUCAGAAAGCAUUACAAACCGAGACAGAAGUGGCAAAUUAAACAAUGCUUAAGAUCUUGCAAUCAACUUUUUACAAUCUAGCCAGCCAGAGUUAAAAAAAGCUGAGAGAACGUGCAUUUCACAGGAUAACAAAUGAGCAUUAAUGGGCAUAGAAGGUGCAAGAUGUUGAACCCUGCCAGUGGUGUGACACCUACAGGCAGUGAGUGUACAUAAAGACACAGCUCACAGCAUCUGAAGAUGAUGACUGUGCAAGUCACUGAAAUAUAGUGCACAUAAGUGGAAUCAAGUACUUGGCUGAAUAUCCACAAGCACACUGUUCACACAAUUCUCUGAAGAUUAAACAGUGAAUUAAGGUGCAAAAGUGAGCAAAACAAUAGUGCUUCAGUGGUACGUUGCCCUUGGUGUUAAUUUUGAUACUAGGGUUAAUGUUUUACCAUAUGAAUCUUACUGCAAGUUUUGAGGAGAUAACUCAUCACGCAUCUAAAAAGGAUGAACGGUUAAGAGUUCAACAUCUCACUGGUACUAACAAAGAUGCAGUAGUUGCUUGGUUGUAGAAGUACUGGAGAAAUAAAGCAGGCGUUACUUAUUUUAACAGUCAUUGCUUGGGUGAAAGCAAUCAAAACCUAAACCAGGAUGGUAAUUUAGAUGCACCUGAACGAAACUUCAGUAUGUCUUGCAUGGUACAAGAAAACACGGAGAUUAGUAACCACAUGAGAAGACAUGUUGCUUUAUGUACACCUGAGUUCAAAUUUCUAACAUCACUGGAAAAAUUUAUGAAACACACUGAUCAAGAACAAAGCCUCGAAGAACUAGGGCAAGGCUCGUAAGCUAUUAAACUUCACAACAGUGACUACAUUCUUCAACAAGAUGUGCUUUUUAUCAUGUUAUAAAAUACAUAAACAUAAACUGCUGAAGAAACAUUUAGAAUCUUCUGACAAAACAGCCACGCACAUUAAUAGAUUGUAGUGCCUCAAGAAUUUCGGUGUAAAUUCUGGAAACAUUGAGCCUUCCACCGUAUCGAACACCUGAUAUUUUAGGCACGUGUUCGGAAGAGUGAGAAUGUUUCUAUCGAUCCACCUGUUUUUAUGUGCAGGUUGGAAGUUUGUUAUUACAAGACUGUAAGAGGGGCGAGUCACAGACGAUGACAAGUGUUUGCCACCAGGGCCACAGAACACUUGAUGAAAACUCAAGGAAUAAUUAUGGAAUAUUCUUUGAUGUGUUAGUGAAAGUGAUUAUUGUAGAAAAAGAAAAGAAAACAACUGACUAUAUACUUUUAACUUACUUCAUGUCUCAGCUCUGCAUGAGGCAGGGCACGUGUGAUGUCUAUAAAUUAUUUGAUUGUUACAAUCUACGAUAUUGUACUUGUGUUUUAUCGAGUCUGACGUUUAAAGACACCAGUUGGUUUGCCAGAACUCAGAUACUUAUGUGAAAAAGAGUAAAUGUUGCUUUGUGUUGAGAGUUGAAAAUAUACCAUGAAGGAAUUGAAAGUGUUUCACGAGUACACAAAUUAUUUCAAGAAUAGAGAAGUAGCUUAAUAAAUUCCUUUAACCCGCUAUAGUCUUCGGAGAAGAAGCUUUUAGAGAUCGAUGUAACUGAUUACCCAGAGAAGAGGAUCGGCUGCACACAAUAUGUAAGUCAACUGCGAGAGACGUGUGUCUCUUGCACCC
Long non-coding RNA from Schistocerca cancellata (South American locust), 2582 nucleotides. RefSeq lists it as uncharacterized. The transcript has 3 exons. NCBI's taxonomy places the organism in Eukaryota, Metazoa, Arthropoda, Insecta, Orthoptera, Acrididae. The record is from RefSeq and is a predicted model, not a curated record.